GUCCCUGUCGCACAAUGGAUAGCACCUUGGACUUCUGAUCCAAAGGUCGUGGAUUCGAAUCCCACUUGGGAUG
Non-coding RNA from Trichonephila clavipes, 73 nucleotides. The record is from the annotation of a GenBank genome assembly. NCBI's taxonomy places the organism in Eukaryota, Metazoa, Arthropoda, Arachnida, Araneae, Nephilidae.